GAUGAACGCUGGCGGCGUGCCUAAUACAUGCAAGUCGAGCGAACAGACGGGGAGCUUGCUCCUCUGACGUUAGCGGCGGACGGGUGAGUAACACGUGGAUAACCUACCUAUAAGACUGGGAUAACUUCGGGAAACCGGAGCUAAUACCGGAUAAUAUAUUGAACCGCAUGGUUCAAUAGUGAAAGACGGUUUUGCUGUCACUUAUAGAUGGAUCCGCGCCGCAUUAGCUAGUUGGUAAGGUAACGGCUUACCAAGGCAACGAUGCGUAGCCGACCUGAGAGGGUGAUCGGCCACACUGGAACUGAGACACGGUCCAGACUCCUACGGGAGGCAGCAGUAGGGAAUCUUCCGCAAUGGGCGAAAGCCUGACGGAGCAACGCCGCGUGAGUGACGAAGGUCUUCGGAUCGUAAAACUCUGUUAUUAGGGAAGAACAAAUGUGUAAGUAACUAUGCACGUCUUGACGGUACCUAAUCAGAAAGCCACGGCUAACUACGUG
RNAcentral lists this ribosomal RNA (497 nucleotides) under uncultured bacterium. RNAcentral's name for it is "partial 16S ribosomal RNA". It matches the Rfam family "Bacterial small subunit ribosomal RNA", at positions 28 to 507 of the family's 1533-position model. The record is from RNAcentral.